This 491-nucleotide ribosomal RNA is filed under the name uncultured Actinomycetes bacterium. RNAcentral's name for it is "bacterial SSU rRNA". It matches the Rfam family "Bacterial small subunit ribosomal RNA", at positions 8 to 522 of the family's 1533-position model. The record is from RNAcentral. Lineage: Bacteria; Bacillati; Actinomycetota; Actinomycetes.
AGAGUUUGAUCCUGGCUCAGGACGAACGCUGGCGGCGUGCUUAACACAUGCAAGUCGAGCGGAAAGGCCCUUCGGGGUACUCGAGCGGCGAACGGGUGAGUAACACGUGAGUAACCUGCCCUCCACUCUGGGAUAAGCCCGGGAAACUGGGUCUAAUACCGGAUAUGACUCCUCGUCUCCUGGCGGGGGGUGGAAAGUUUUUCGGUGGGGGAUGGACUCGCGGCCUAUCAGCUUGUUGGUGAGGUAAUGGCUUACCAAGGCGACGACGGGUAGCCGGCCUGAGAGGGCGACCGGCCACACUGGGACUGAGACACGGCCCAGACUCCUACGGGAGGCAGCAGUGGGGAAUAUUGCACAAUGGGGGAAACCCUGAUGCAGCGACGCCGCGUGCGGGAUGAAGGCCUUCGGGUUGUAAACCGCUUUCAGCAGGGACGAAAGUGACGGUCCUGCAGAAGAAGCACCGGCCUAACUACGUGCCAGCAGCCGCGGUA